UCAGGACGAACGCUGGCGGCGUGCCUAACACAUGCAAGUCGAACGGACGAGGGGAGCUUGCUCCCCGAGUUAGUGGCGAACGGGUGAGUAACGCGUGAGCAACCUGCCUUUCAGUGGGGGACAACGGUUGGAAACGACCGCUAAUACCGCAUAAUACAGCGAAGGGGCAUCCCUCUGCUGUCAAAGAUUUAUUGCUGAAAGAUGGGCUCGCGUCUGAUUAGAUAGUUGGUGGGGCAACGGCCUACCAAGUCGACGAUCAGUAGCCGGACUGAGAGGUUGAACGGCCACAUUGGGACUGAGAUACCGGCCCAGACUCCUACGGGAGGCAGCAGGUGGGGAAUUAAGUUGGGCAAGUACGGGGGAAACCCUCGACCCAGCAACGCCGCGUAGAAGGAAGAAGGCCGUUCGGGUUAGUAAACUUCUUUUACCGAGGGACGAAGGACGUGACGGUACCUGGAGAAAAAGCCACGGCUAACUACGUGCCAGCCGCGGC
Molecule: ribosomal RNA, 493 nt
Filed under: uncultured bacterium
Lineage: Bacteria
Description: bacterial SSU rRNA
Rfam family: Bacterial small subunit ribosomal RNA
Source: RNAcentral